UUGCAAAGACUCUCUGCCACACCAGC
Molecule: unclassified non-coding RNA, 26 nt
Filed under: Mus musculus (house mouse)
Lineage: Eukaryota; Metazoa; Chordata; Mammalia; Rodentia; Muridae
Description: oocyte_clustered_small_RNA12275
Source: RNAcentral